Molecule: ribosomal RNA, 237 nt
Filed under: Klebsiella pneumoniae
Lineage: Bacteria; Pseudomonadati; Pseudomonadota; Gammaproteobacteria; Enterobacterales; Enterobacteriaceae
Description: partial 23S ribosomal RNA
Rfam family: Bacterial large subunit ribosomal RNA
Source: RNAcentral
AGGGACAGGUGAAAAGAACCCCGAGAGGGGAGUGAAAUAGAUUCUGAAACCAUUUACUUACAAGUAGUCAGAGCACGUUAAAGUGUGAUGGCGUACAUCUUGCAGUAUGGGCCGGCGAGUUAUGUUAAAAUAUGCAAGGUUAAGCAGAAAAAAGCGGAGCCGUAGGGAAACCGAGUCUGAAUAGGGCGACUUUAGUAUAUUGGCAUAUACCCGAAACCAGGUGAUCUAUCCCUGAGC